This 61-nucleotide transfer RNA is filed under the name Rhodomonas lens. Lineage: Eukaryota; Cryptophyceae; Pyrenomonadales; Pyrenomonadaceae. The record is from RNAcentral.
GGGUUCUAAUAGGAAAUCGCAAAGAAAUUUUACAUAAAUCAUCGGUUGAUUUACCAAAAAA